This is a long non-coding RNA of Diceros bicornis minor, 751 nucleotides long. RefSeq lists it as uncharacterized. The transcript has 5 exons. The record is from RefSeq and is a predicted model, not a curated record. Lineage: Eukaryota; Metazoa; Chordata; Mammalia; Perissodactyla; Rhinocerotidae.
CAUCACACUGUGGUUACCACUGAGGGUUUCCAAGAUGACUUUCAGGACACACGGACAAAUUUACCAGCUGUGUGAACUCGGCCCAGCACUCCCAUCUUGGGUGCCUUCAUUCAGGACCCAUAGGCCAGAGGUCAGACCUUAGACCAGGUUUACGUCCUGCUCGCAGCACAGAUGAGCUUGAACAACAUACACUGAGCACCUACGAUGCGCCAGAACUGAGCCAAGUGUGAAGCCAGAGGUCUGAUGAAGGUCUGGUGGUCCUCAUCCAUCUUGUAGAUAUGUCAUCUAGAAAAAUGUGGCCUCUAGGGUGAUUGCUCCAGGGGUAGAGAGACUUGGAGGAGUCGCAUCAGUUCAUUGCUGCCUUAAGCCCAGGAGUGACAUGCAUCACUUCUGCUCACAGUUCAUUGGACAGAACGAGUCACAUGGCUCCAACUUCAUUGCAAUGGAGGCUGGGAAAUGUAAGAGGAUGCUUGAUUCUUCCUGCUGUGAUGGACUUGUUCCUGUAGUCCUGCAUAAUCCCAGCCCUUCUACCGAGCUCAGUGCUUCUCAACGUACAUGAGGAGCAUCACCAACAUCUGGGAACGGCAAUUGGUCAAGGAAUGGAGUCACAACCCAAGUACAGCCAAUACUUCUCAAAGGGAUUCUUUCUGGUCUUUUGGGAAAAGUUUCCUUUUUUUGUUUGUUUACUUCUUGCAAGCCUUGAGCCUGAAAGUAUGCAAAGCUGAAGCUUUCUUUCCCUGACUAAAGACCA